RNAcentral lists this small RNA (458 nucleotides) under Vigna angularis var. angularis. Its description in RNAcentral is "Non-protein coding transcript". Lineage: Eukaryota; Viridiplantae; Streptophyta; Magnoliopsida; Fabales; Fabaceae. The record is from RNAcentral.
GGAAAAUGUUUUUCUCGUCUUAGUCUUUGUAUUUAUCUGGUAAAAGUCACUUGCUCUUUUUGUUUGUGUGGUUUCAAAACUCAGACUAUGAUAUGAUAUUUAAACUUGUGGUUGCUUCUGAGAUGGAUUAAAGGAGAUGAACUGAACACUGUUAUCUCAUGAUGUUGAGGUUCUGAGAUAAAACUUCUGCCAUUAGGUAUUAUAAGAUUUUUAGUGAGAGAGAUUCAUAGAGGUGGUUGUGUCUCAGGUUGGUUGUAACAUCCUGAAAGCUUCAUAAGUAUCAUCUUGAAGGUGAUUGUCAGAAUAAUAAUCUGAUUCAUUAGCAUAGUAGUUUGGAUUCAUUAAAACAUGUUGCAAUAUUGCACAGAAAAUGGGGGGUUUUUUGUACUUAUGUAUGGACUGUGUUUUUCAAUACAAGUGAAUGGGUUUAUAUUAAUUUCAUAUGGCUAUAAAUGUUA